RNAcentral lists this ribosomal RNA (231 nucleotides) under uncultured bacterium. RNAcentral describes it as "partial 16S ribosomal RNA". It matches the Rfam family "Bacterial small subunit ribosomal RNA", at positions 100 to 334 of the family's 1533-position model. The record is from RNAcentral.
CGGGACGGGUGAGUAAUGUCUGGGAAACUGCCUGAUGGAGGGGGAUAACUACUGGAAACGGUAGCUAAUACCGCAUAACGUCGCAAGACCAAAGAGGGGGACCUUCGGGCCUCUUGCCAUCGGAUGUGCCCAGAUGGGAUUAGCUAGUAGGUGGGGUAACGGCUCACCUAGGCGACGAUCCCUAGCUGGCUGAGAGGAUGCCAGCCACACUGGAACUGAGACACGGUCCAG